ACGCACGCUGGCGGCGUGCUUCACCCAUGCAAGUCGAACGCUGAAGCUUGGUGCUUGCACUGGGUGGAUGAGUGGCGAACGGGUGAGUAAUACGUGAGUAACCUGCCCUUGACUCUGGGAUAAGCCUGGGAAACUGGGCUAAUACUGGAUACGACAUGCCACUGCAUGGUGGUGUGUGGAAAGGGGUUUUCUGGUUUUGGAUGGGCUCACGGCCUAUCAGCUUGUUGGUGGGGUAAUGGCCUACCAAGGCGACGACGGGUAGCCGGCCUGAGAGGGUGACCGGCCACACUGGGACUGAGACACGGCCCAGACUCCUACGGGAGGCAGCAGUGGGGAAUAUUGCACAAUGGGCGGAAGCCUGAUGCAGCGACGCCGCGUGAGGGAUGACGGCCUUCGGGUUGUAAACCUCUUUCAGCACGGAAGAAGCGAGAGUGACGGUACGUGCAGAAGAAGCGCCGGCUAACUACGUG
This 470-nucleotide ribosomal RNA is filed under the name uncultured bacterium. RNAcentral describes it as "partial 16S ribosomal RNA". It matches the Rfam family "Bacterial small subunit ribosomal RNA", at positions 29 to 507 of the family's 1533-position model. The record is from RNAcentral.